Molecule: ribosomal RNA, 523 nt
Filed under: uncultured bacterium
Lineage: Bacteria
Description: partial 16S ribosomal RNA
Rfam family: Bacterial small subunit ribosomal RNA
Source: RNAcentral
GACGAACGCUGGCGGCGUGCCUAAUACAUGCAAGUCGAACGCUUUUUCGUUCACCGGAGCUUGCUUCACCGAAAGAAAAAGAGUUGCGAACGGGUGAGUAACACGUGGGUAACCUGCCCAUCAGUCGGGGAUAACACUUGGAAACAGGUGCCAAUACCGUAUAACACUAUUUUCCGCAUGGAAGGCAGUUGAACGGGGCUGUUGCGUCACUGAUGGAUGGCCCCGCGGUGCAUUAGCUAGUUGGUGAGGUAACGGCUCACCAAGGCAACGAUGCGUAGCCGACCUGAGAGGGAGAUCGGCCCCACUGGGACGGAGGCACGGCCCAGAAUCCUACGGGGGGCAGCAGUAGGGAAUCUUCGGCAAUGGACGAAAGUCUGACCGAGCAACGCCGGGUGAGUUAAGAAGGUUUUCGGGUCGUAAAACUCUGUUGUUAGAGAAGAACAAGGAUCAGAGUAGAACGUUCAUCUCUUGACGGUACCUACAGAAAAAGCCACGGCUAACUACGUGCCAGCCGCCGCCGUAA